AUUGGACGCUGGCGGAAUGCUUUACACAUGCAAGUCGAACGGUAGUGGGGGCAACCCCUCGAGAGUGGCGAACGGGUGAGUAAUAUAUCGGAACGUGCCCAGUCGUUGGGGAUAACGUAGUGAAAAUUACGCUAAUACCGCAUACGAUCUAUGGAUGAAAGCGGGGGAUCGCAAGACCUCGCGCGAUUGUACCGGCCGAUAUCAGAUUAGGUAGUUGGUGGGGUAAAGGCCCACCAAGCCAACGAUCUGUAGCUGGUCUGAGAGGACGACCAGCCACACUGGAACUGAGACACGGUCCAGACUCCUACGGGAGGCAGCAGUGGGGAAUUUUGGACAAUGGGCGAAAGCCUGAUCCAGCCAUUCCGCGUGCAGGAUGAAGGCCCUCGGGUUGUAAACUGCUUUUGUACAGAACGAAAAGGUUUCUACUAAUACUAGGAGCUCAUGACGGUACUGUAAGAAUAAGCACCGGCUAACUACGUGCCAGCCGCCGCCGUAA
This 496-nucleotide ribosomal RNA is filed under the name uncultured bacterium. RNAcentral's name for it is "partial 16S ribosomal RNA". It matches the Rfam family "Bacterial small subunit ribosomal RNA", at positions 30 to 523 of the family's 1533-position model. The record is from RNAcentral.